RNAcentral lists this ribosomal RNA (305 nucleotides) under uncultured bacterium. RNAcentral describes it as "bacterial SSU rRNA". It matches the Rfam family "Bacterial small subunit ribosomal RNA", at positions 333 to 636 of the family's 1533-position model. The record is from RNAcentral.
UUUGGCCUACGGGGCGCGCAGUGAGGAAUAUUGGUCAAUGGGCUUACGCCUGAACCAGCCAAGUCGCGUGAGGGAAGACUGCCCUAUGGGUUGUAAACCUCUUUUGUCAGGGAGCAACGCCGGCUACGUGUAGCCGGACUGAGAGUACCUGAAGAAAAAGCAUUGGCUGACUCCGUGCCAGCAGCCGCGGUAAUACGGAGGAUGCGAGCGUUAUCCGGAUUUAUUGGGUUUAAAGGGUGCGUAGGCGGAAUGCCAAGUCAGCGGUAAAAUCGCGGGGCUCAACCUCGCUCCGCCGUUGAAAUUGG